This is a non-coding RNA of Lupinus albus (white lupine), 204 nucleotides long. The record is from the annotation of a GenBank genome assembly. Lineage: Eukaryota; Viridiplantae; Streptophyta; Magnoliopsida; Fabales; Fabaceae.
CGUCGAAUUCCGACGUACGGUCCUAAAGUUACGCCAAGAACGGAUAAUUACGACUUAAAGCAUUUGAUCGCGCGUACACAUGCAGGUGCCGAUCAUACCAGCACUAAUGCACCGGAUCCCAUCAGAACUCCGCAGUUAAGCGUGCUUGGGCGAGAGUAGUACUAGGAUGGGUGACCUCCUGGGAAGUCCUCGUGUUGCACCUCU